ACUCCUACGGGAGGCAGCAGUGGGAAGUAUUGCACAAGGCGGCAAGCCUGCAUGCAGCCAUGCCGCGUGUGUGAAGAAGGCCUUCGGGUUGUAAAGCACUUUCAGUCGUGAGGAAGGUAGUGUAGUUAAUAGCUGCAUUAUUUGACGUUAGCGACAGAAGAAGCACCGGCUAACUCCGUGCCAGCAGCCGCGGUAAUACGGAGGGUGCGAGCGUUAAUCGGAAUUACUGGGCGUAAAGCGCAUGCAGGUGGUUUGUUAAGUCAGAUGUGAAAG
This 273-nucleotide ribosomal RNA is filed under the name uncultured bacterium. RNAcentral describes it as "partial 16S ribosomal RNA". It matches the Rfam family "Bacterial small subunit ribosomal RNA", at positions 335 to 600 of the family's 1533-position model. The record is from RNAcentral.